RNAcentral lists this small RNA (85 nucleotides) under Chryseobacterium balustinum. Its description in RNAcentral is "Flavo-1 RNA". It matches the Rfam family "Flavo-1 RNA". The record is from RNAcentral. Lineage: Bacteria; Pseudomonadati; Bacteroidota; Flavobacteriia; Flavobacteriales; Weeksellaceae.
AAUUAGCCCAGAUCGCAACGGUAUCCUUUUUUAUUGUAGGGAAUAGAGGUGGACAAAAAAGAUAGAGUGGAGAGCUGGAAAAAGC